Non-coding RNA from Lupinus angustifolius (narrow-leaved blue lupine), 73 nucleotides. Lineage: Eukaryota; Viridiplantae; Streptophyta; Magnoliopsida; Fabales; Fabaceae. The record is from Rfam.
UCCGUUAUAGUCUAGUUGGUCAGGAUAUUCGGCUCUCACCCAAAGGACGCGCGUUCAAUUCCCGGCAACGGAA